RNAcentral lists this ribosomal RNA (253 nucleotides) under uncultured bacterium. RNAcentral's name for it is "partial 16S ribosomal RNA". It matches the Rfam family "Bacterial small subunit ribosomal RNA", at positions 524 to 776 of the family's 1533-position model. The record is from RNAcentral.
UACGUAGGGAGCGAGCGUUGUCCGGAAUUACUGGGUGUAAAGGGAGCGUAGGCGGGACGGCAAGUCAGAUGUGAAAACUGAGGGCUCAACCCUCAGACUGCAUUUGAAACUGCUGUUCUUGAGUGAAGUAGAGGUAAGCGGAAUUCCUAGUGUAGCGGUGAAAUGCGUAGAUAUUAGGAGGAACAUCGGUGGCGAAGGCGGCUUACUGGGCUUUUACUGACGUUGAGGCUCGAAAGCGUGGGGAGCAAACAGG